Molecule: transfer RNA, 76 nt
Filed under: Burkholderiales bacterium
Lineage: Bacteria; Pseudomonadati; Pseudomonadota; Betaproteobacteria; Burkholderiales
Description: tRNA-Lys
Rfam family: tRNA
About the family: Transfer RNA (tRNA) molecules are approximately 80 nucleotides in length. Their secondary structure includes four short double-helical elements and three loops (D, anti-codon, and T loops). Further hydrogen bonds mediate the characteristic L-shaped molecular structure. tRNAs have two regions of fundamental functional importance: the anti-codon, which is responsible for specific mRNA codon recognition, and the 3' end, to which the tRNAs corresponding amino acid is attached (by aminoacyl-tRNA synthetases). tRNAs cope with the degeneracy of the genetic code in two manners: having more than one tRNA (with a specific anti-codon) for a particular amino acid; and 'wobble' base-pairing, i.e. permitting non-standard base-pairing at the 3rd anti-codon position.
Source: RNAcentral
GGGUCGUUAGCUCAGUUGGUAGAGCAGCGGACUUUUAAUCCGUUGGUCGCAGGUUCAAAUCCUGCACGACCUACCA